Molecule: ribosomal RNA, 403 nt
Filed under: uncultured bacterium
Lineage: Bacteria
Description: partial 16S ribosomal RNA
Rfam family: Bacterial small subunit ribosomal RNA
Source: RNAcentral
AUUGAACGCUGGCGGCAGGCCUAACACAUGCAAGUCGAGCGCGCGUCGGACGGGUGAGUAAUGUAUGGGGACUCCCCGCUAUAGCGGGAUACCUACUGGAAACGGUGGAUCAUACCCCAUACUAUCGGAUAACCCAUAUGGGAUUAGCUAGUAGGUGAGGUAAUGGCUCACCGAGGCGACGAUCCCUAGCGGGUCUGAGAGGAUGAUCAGCCACACUGGGACUGAGACACGGCCCAGACGCCUACGGAGGCAGCAGUGGGGAAUAGUGCACAAUGGGCGCAAGCCUGAUGCAGCCAUGCCGCGUGUAUGAAGAAGGCCCUAGGGUUGUAAAGUACUUUCAGUCGGGAGGCGUUACCGACAGAAGAAGCACCGGCUAACUCCGUGCCAGCAGCCGCGGUAAUAC